GGAUCUCUGGUUGGAGAUCCCUUUCUGGUGGAGUUUUUCCAGGGAGUGACCUUUGGAGAUGGGAUUUCUCAAGAAAUGGCGACUUACAUCACCAUCUUUCUCCAGCUGACUGCACCACUGAACUCCUGGUCAUCUUUGGCACAGCAGGAAGAGUCAAAGUCAGAAUGGUGACAAUCAACUGUGACAGCUCUGCAGCUUGUACUACUGGCGAGAGCAAUAGGAGAACUAAAGAUAUCUUCCAUCUCAUCAGUAGAUGCAGGCAAGACGUUGCUCAGAGCCAUCAGCAAGAUGCAAGUGAGCUGACAGUCAGACUCUUGUACAAGAUUUUCAUGCCUUACAAGUGAAGUUCUUCUAAGAGCCAGUCACCAGGAAGCAUCCACUUUAAUUCAGAGCUGGAAUAUGAAAUCAUACAGUUAGAACAGUACAACGAUUCAUUAUUUUAGGUCUGCUAGGUUAUUUUAUGGAGUUCUGCACUUCAGGUAUUCCAGCCAGGUCUGUGUCCCCAGCUGAGAACUCCAGUGGUUUGCGUAGAAAGGAUGUCCAGAAGAAAAUAACACAGGCAGAAUUGGAUGUCAGUGUUGCUCUGAAGAACUGUUGGUUUAGCAAUUGGGGUGAGAGGACCGUUGUCCCUUAAACACCUGGCAUUUGGAGGCUUCUAAAGUAUACCAUGAAAAGCAAACAAAAUCUGAAGGAAAUGGAGAGUUAAUGUGAAGAAAUAGAUCACUGCUUUGCAAAAUAUCUGUGUGUUUUUCUGAUUAUUAGUACAACAUUUUUGUCUGGAAUUUAUUAAUCCUUUGGAAAUCUGUGCAGAUAACUGUGCAAGGGACAGUUCAUGAUUCCAUGCCUUGAGCAAUACCUCACAGAUGGGAUCUUAAGAGAAGAAAAUAGAUCUUUUCUGAUACUGGCUGACCCUACCAUACCAUGAGUAAGAACAAGCCAAAAGUCUGCAUGUCCACACAUCUCCUCACCCUCCACAGGAAGAUAUCGGGACAAACCUUCUUAAGAAGCAUUUUGUAUAAGUUGCCUUGUUGCCAAUCGUGAAUCUUCAGAACUGUCUGCCAAAUGCCUGACACUGAAGUGAUUUAAGACCUGCAUUAGAUCAGCUUCAACUGAGUGUAGCAUGCUGCCCUGGGAGGGUGACUGCUCAAUGAGCAUUCCCCUGGCUCUGAGAAGUGAGAAAAAUAAGUUCUGUUAAAAGAAAGAAUUAAUAGUAAUUUGAAUUGAGAAGCCUAAAUCCUGCCCAGACAUACACUCAGAACAAGUUCAGAGCUCAGAAUGCCGCAGUAAUGCAUAUCAAACUUUCUUUCACAUAAACUCCUCGAAACAUCAGGAUGAAAUGGUUAUCAGGAUUCUGAAGGACUAAGGUCUUCAUGUGUAGUGCUAACAGUUAAAAAGAAGGAAAAGCAACCAAAUUGCCCCUAGUCUGCUCAAGAGCCCGUCACUGCUUCCUAAGUGGUCACGCUACAAAAUCAAAGAAGUAACAAGGUAUGGUUGGUUACCCUUCCAAAAAUAACUGCAAGUAUUAAGUGCUGUCUUUAUGGAGAAGCCAGACCUCCUGCAGUAAGAGGGAAAAUUGAAUUGACUUGCAAGAGGCCAGAAUGCCACCCACAGAGGUGCUUGAUUGCCAGAAAAUGCUGAGUUCCUGCUGCUUGGAAUCACUGCUGUCCGAUAUCCGGCAUUGUACUGAAAGGCCGCCCAGGGAGGUGGUGGAGUCACCAUUCCUCGAAGUGUUAAGAACCAUGGAGAUGUAGCACUGAGGGACAUGGUCAGUGGGAGCGGUGGAGGUAAAUUUAAGGGCAUGCAUCUCUGGCUGGACUUUUCUGGAAGGACUUUUCUGCAGCCUUUUGCAUUCUCUAUGUUCAGAGGAUAGAAGCUGUAACCAUUCAGUUCUGCAAUCAGGCUUGGCUCCAGUGAAAAUAAAGUUGAAUUCCAACAUAAGGUAACCGGUAAGCUUUUGUGUGAUGGACCACCACCACCAAGAUAACCAGCUUUCAAAUAUGAGGAUAAUGAACACACUGUUUAAGUCCAUGGAACUCUGAUUUACUGUGGCUGAGGCUCUGGAAGAACUUUUUUUUUUCUCUUUGUUUUGUAGACUCAGUUUCAGAGAGGAGACAGACAGCUGGUGGAGUUGCAGAUUUCACAAGCAGGAGGAAUCAAAAUGUGGGAGACCAGGAGGUCAGGACAGCAUGCUUGAUUGCCUACAUGAAGAGUAACAAGCUUCUCCUCUGGUCCCAUGUGAGCCACCUGGAAACCAUUGAGGAGCACAAGAGCCCCAGUAUCAUCUCAGUGGAUGUUUCAGAGAAACUGUUUGAAUGUCUGUGCUAGAAAGGUACAUGAAUUUAUCCUGCAAUGAAUACAGAAGCAUAGGAGAUGGAGGACAGGACCUUGACCUGAACAGAUCUGAAGAAUGAGAUACAGAAAACAGAAAAAAAAAAUCAACUUUUCAUGAAGAGUUGAAAGAAAGAAAAAAGAAGAAAGUGCACGUCCUUCAAAAAGGAAAUCCUCCAGCAAAUCUGCUAAUGAAGUCCCUGCUCAUUUUGCAUUCUGGAUUUGCCCAAAGAGGUGCUAAAUAUCAGCAGGUAAUGGAGGACGGGAACAAUACUGUUGAGCAACGACAAGCAAGUGAGAUUAAAGCUGAAAAUACUGAUUCUACAAGAACUGCUUGUUCAUGGGAAUGCUGCUGCUACAUGCCAGAAAAUCUAAAGAAGAAAAAUAAUGAAAAGGUGAAGUAAUUUCUUUGAAUUCACAGUAAAUCAGCAGACUCAUGGAUCGAAGUCAGACUAAUAGACCAAGGACAAACACAACUGCGGGGAUUGGCCUCUUCUCCCAGCGUAGGAGAGUUUCAAAGAGGAACCUGACAGAUAUUUGCUCCUGCUGGGCUGAGCUGUGAUGCUGGAGAUUUCAAGAAGAUACUCCACAGCAGUUGAGUGACUUUCUCAUUGCAAGGCAACGCUGGGAAAAGCAUCCUCUCCAGGUAGGAAGAAAGUGUAAAAAGAAGUCCGGAAAUGAGGCUUAUAUCUGAUGGAUAUGGGGUGCUGGCAGGGUCAUGCCUGGAAAGAAGUGGUGCACCAAAACUGACAAGGUAGGGAAACCUUCCAUCCAGGUUUACAGAGAAUAGCAGAGGGUUCACUCUCAUUUUGAUCUGAUAUAAUGCUUUGAAUCUGGGAAAAUAUAUGGUAUAACUUUUCAUUACAAAAUAUUUAUUUUUUAACAUGUGAGACUAGAUGCAUUUCACAGUUUUAUUUUGCUGUUUCCUGUCUGUCUUUCUUCAACUCUCGUGCCUGUUAAAUGUCAAAAAAAAAAAAAAACUUAUGCGAAGAGGCCAUGAGGGUGCAGGUCUGCUAAAGAGUCUGAGGGUAAUCAAUAAUGUGGAUUUGAUUUUCAGCCAUGCCAAAUAGCUCUGGUUCCACAUGGCAUUAUCAGCACCAGUAAGCAGUCAGUGUUAUACAUGGAGAUCUUUAAGUGCUCUUGGAUUGUUUCUUGAUUGGUAUCUGUGGGGAAAAAGAAGGUAACUUGACUUGUAAAGUUUCAAGAUUCAACCCACAUUUAUUUAUUGUUUCACAAUUUCCAGACUCCUCAUGGGAGUUACAAACAUAAGCCUGCAUCCUUGGGAGUACCAUGUGCUCCUGCACAUCAGUCUUGGGCUGCUGGAGCUUUAUUGCUGCUUUCACAGCUGUUGUGUUCCCAUACAUAAUUAAUAAGCAAACACUUCAUAAGGUAUUGUGAAUGGAUAAUGUUAUUAUAUUGUCCAUCGCACAUUGAAAUCAAAAUGGACCAAGACAAAUUUUUACUAGUAUCUGAACAUUAUUUCUAAGGAGGAGAUGAAAGUGUUUCACAACAUAUUGAUCUGUACCUGAGCGUAAAUGAUUAAUGUACUGUGGUCCAACUGCAGCUGGAUUUCUUUUGACAACAGCCAUGAAACAAGCUAUAAUCUCAUAUCCAUUGAUAGAUCGAUAUAUAUAGGUAUGUAUUUUUAUAUAUAGAUGCAUUUACCUUUAUCGUGUGAUUGAGUGGCAGACCUUGCAUUAUAAAUCAAGGCUUGGCAAAAGUGGAAGUAUAAACUUGACACAUUUCUGGAUGUAUGUGAUCUAGUAUUUAUUAGUUUUUUCCUCUCAGUGUGAUUCUCUUUCCAACUUUCCUCAUUUUUGACUGAGAAUCCCUUGAUAGACUAUUAUUUCCAAAAUUUUUCUCUAUACUGAAAUACUGUCAAUACUACUUGAAAUGUGUUAUGGAAAGAAUGCCAUUUGUCCAUUGCUCUGCUUAAGAUGGGCACUUAUGAGUUAAUUUUUUUAAAUCUCCAUUUUUCUUCCAUAAAAUCUUCUGAUGUAAGUAUAAACAAAUAAGAAGGUAAGACUGAAGUUGAAAUGGGGAAAAAUGUGGGCAAGACAAUUAACAUUUGCAAAGCAAUAAGGACUUACCUGAAUAGCUUAAUUGAACACUGGAGACUUCGUGUUUCUGGGGAGAAAGAAGAAUAAAUUCAGUGCCAUUUAACACUGAUGUGUUAAGCAAUGUAAGUUGCUACAUUAAUAAUCUUUCCUGGCAUAUUGAGUGGGAAUUUCGUAUCUAUUUAUUUCUUUAUGCUGUAUCUAUUGCAGGAAUUCUUUCUCCUGUACUCUUUUCUGACAAGCGAACCUCAGUAUGCCAACAGAAUAACUCUGCCUUCCUUGCCACGCACAAUAGACUGUUUUUAAUGCCUUGAUUACAAUUCACAUCUAAUGCCUAGGGAAAGAAGAACCAUUCUGAGAAGCUUUCAAAAUAUGUUUGCGGUCUCAUAACCAACUCAAACUGCAAAUAUGUUUUUCUUUUAUGGGUUUACACUUAGCAACUGAACAUAGUUAUAUCUGCCCAGAAGCCUUGUACAUAAUUACGUCUUGAUUCACACUGGUUCUGGGAAAGCAUUAAGUCAAAAUGGUUAUAAAUAUGUAAUCUGAAUAAUUUGAUUUGUCAGUGAGAAACAGUAUUUAACUACAAUAUUUUGGAUGAAGUUGCUGCUUUCGUUGAAUACUUGCAUUUGUAUUGUAAUAAGCCACUGCAAACCAAUAAUGAAUGGCAAACUUUGGAAGUAUGGAAAUUAUAUUGUCUGAGGAAACCUGCAACACAGUACAAUGAUAACUGGCUCAGUCAAGGGUAAAAUCAAGAGGAAAAAUAGUUAAUUCUAUUUUCUUGACAUUUGUUGUUGCUUUGUUUUGUUUUGUUUUUUAAACGAGAGAGAGAUUUUUUCCCAGUGCUUCAGAAACCUUCUUCGUAUCACCUCAUGUCAGAAGCAAUUGUAUGGAGUGGAUGUAAAAAGGCCUGGGACAAUUGCACAGUUCAUACUGUAAAGAUGAAAGCAGCCUGCUCUUUCUGGUACAUAUCCGCUUUGAUCUACAUAGUGUGGAAAACUGAGACCUUGCCCAGCAUAAUGCUGCAGGCUUCUGCCGUGUUGCAAGUCCUUGGAACAGAGAGAGGAAAAGGUGCUGUACUCAUACCAUGGCAGUUACAGAAGAACAAAGACUGGUAUAUGCUGAAACUUGUCAGUUGAUGAAGUUAGCCCUGCAAAUGGAUUUAAAAACUUCUUUGUCAAAAAAGUGGAUGCUUAUCACUCAAUUAUUUUUAUGUCCUCAAGCUGAAUCUAUUACUUAUUCAUCACAAUCGUAAUACUAAAUUGAGUUACCAGAAGAGGUUGAGAUUGCUUUUACUUUCCAUCCUUCAAGGGCUGUGAGGCUAGAUACGGCAGGUACUCUGAACCUGUUGCUUCAGGACCCCAGGAAGACUCAAGCCUUUCCAGUAUCAAGUUGUUGACAAAGAUGAGUCCCUGCCAGUAGGAUCCAAGGACUACUUGUGUCACUGCAGUGAGGAGGACAUCACGCAAGUCACAUACAACCAAAUUGCAAGAUAACUGCCGAGCUCAUGAGGGAUAUGCAAUUCUACAAACCUCCCAAAGUAAACUCACAAUUUGCGCUCCCUGAAGGCACUAAAAAUCAACGAGAGUCAUGGAAUACUGGAACAUAUGGAAGAGUUUGCCACCCUUUGCACAAACACACAAGACACCAUUACCCUACAGGGCUACAUCAUAUUUAUGUUUGCUAUUAGAAUGCACCUCAGUAAUACGCACGGCCCCAUUCAAAGUGAAGCAUGGCAACACCUGGUGUUUGUGUGAAACCAUCCCAGAAGGUUUACAAAUUCAAUUAAGAAAAAACGCAAUGAGCUGUGGCAGGGAAGAUAAGUGCUAUACAGGCAGGAAGGCAUUACUUAUAGUGACAAAUCUGCUGGCACCACUCAAGUGUCUGUGCCUAAAGAAGGAGACUGAAUGUGACAGGAAAACAACCCUUAACAGAAAUGUUAUUCUUCUACUUUAUCGAGAUUUCUUAGUGAACUUUGGGAUGCAGUUGCAAUCACACAUCCUUAUCUGUUACAUUUUAAAUUGCUACUGCUUGCUUUCACACACGCACCAAUCCAGUUGAAAUGCAAAACUAUUAAGAUGUACAUAAAGUCAUGAGGUAUCUUAGAGGCUCGGAUAAAACACAGAAAAUUUCAAAACUUCAGAUUCCACUAAGAAUGAAAAAUAAAAAUAAUAAAAAAACAUACCUGAUGAAUGCUUACAUAUGUCCUCUCAGAGUGCUCAGCCUCUGUCUGGUUCCCAAUGCAAGGCAAAGAAUCGUAGAAUCACUGCAGUUGGAAAGACCACUAAGAUCACCCAGUCAACUCAUCAACCCAUUACCACCAUAGCACUAACCCAGGCCAACCACAUGUAGCUUCCUUCCCACCACUGUGAGUGGAAGACUCGCACAUUCAAUCAUCACAAAGCCAACCAAAUGCAUCCCUGGACUCACUUCAGCCUUUUCCAGCACCCACACUAACAACAGCCCCAAGGAGCUGUGAGAGAACACCUGGGAGCCAGCUUCAGCCUCAGUCGUGGUCCUCUGCUUCCCUGGGAUAAUGUGGAUUUCUCAUAUAAUGAUCUACAAAACCCCUUCAAAUAUAUUGCUAGCAUUCACUGUCACUGCACGUUUACAGGCAACUCUUACAGAAGCAGAUCCAGAUACCUUGGAAGCUGCUACGUUCCAUGAGCUCCCAAUCAGAAGCACUCUUGAAAUCAUUCAAAGGGAAAAGAAGAGUGAUCUUAAUAGCGCUGAAGGAUGCUUUGCAGAUGCACCAGUAAUCAAUACCGGUGAGGUUUUUCCUUCCCCAGAGGCAACAGAACUUACCUGAGGUGAAUACGGGAAGUUUCAUCUCAAAUGAGAUUCUUCCAAGUGAGGCUGAACAAGGUUUUGCAUAUUAUGAAAAGCGUGCCUGGAUAAUAAAGCACUUAGUAGAGGAAAAAGAGCUGAGAAGAACAAAAUUAGAUUCUGGAAGUCCAUAAUAGCAGUAAGAAACAGGGAUGAAACAAUGUUCUAGCUGCAAACAGUUGUAACACUGGUGUAAGAUACCGGUGCUGUGGCUGGGAGUGUCUUUCUCUGUAGAAAUAGCAAUUUGAGGUUAAAUGUUGAUUUGUUUUCACAGGAGGUGACACAGCUGUACAUACCUGCAUAGUGUAAUUAACUCCCGCUUUUAUUAGAUGCUUAAUUAGUUCUGCUGAAUGCUGGAAGUGGACUUUAGCUGCAAGACAACAUUUGGAUAUUAUUAGAAAAAGUGAGGUCAUAUAAAAUGUAGUCUCUGUCACUGCCAGAAGCGAGCUGAGUACCCCUCGGCCCAGAAAUGCAGAGCCCACCCAGCAAAAGCCACACAGCCCCUAACAGCGGGCCUCUGGAGAAGAAGCUGGGACCCAGGAAAACUGCUGAACUGGCACUGUGCAAGGACUCCCCUUGAUUUACACACACUGAGAUAGAUUAGAUGUGUGUAAAACCAUUCUCUUUGAGCAUCGUGACAGUUUAUAAUUGUGUCAAGGGAAAGAACAUCGGAUUUUCUACUGCUUGCACAAGGUUAUUAUGGCCCAUACUUCUUCAGGUAACGGACUUUCUGCAACAUAUCAGCAACUUAAUCUUUGUGUGGUGAAAACAGCCAACUUUAUUACUGUGUCCUCCCCCUGCAGAGUGCUGUGAGUGGGCUGGGCAGUGUCACUGGAUGCGGUAUUCAGUAAGAGCAGCAGCAAUUACAGUCAUAGAGCUGAACAGCCCGUGCUGCUCAGCCAGCCAUCAGAAUCCCAAUUCUAUCAUUUGAGCUGCAUCAAAGAACAUUCUUUAGCUUCGCGUCAGUUAGGAGAGUUCAGAAAAAUACGCGGUAGGUACAUUUAAAUCUAGAGUUAUAAAAUCUCUCUUGAUUGAUGCAACCUAUAAUUCCAUUUAAAGUGCUUUAAGUUACUUUGAUUUACUUACUCUCUGUCUGAAGCUACUGAUGAAACUAUUGGUGCUAUUAAAAGGAACCCGGUAGCUCUGGCUUCA
Molecule: long non-coding RNA, 8360 nt
Organism: Gallus gallus (chicken)
Lineage: Eukaryota; Metazoa; Chordata; Aves; Galliformes; Phasianidae
Exons: 29
Source: RefSeq, a predicted model, not a curated record